This 515-nucleotide ribosomal RNA is filed under the name uncultured bacterium. Its description in RNAcentral is "partial 16S ribosomal RNA". It matches the Rfam family "Bacterial small subunit ribosomal RNA", at positions 28 to 523 of the family's 1533-position model. The record is from RNAcentral.
GAUGAACGCUGGCGGCGUGCCUAAUACAUGCAAGUCGAGCGAAUGGAUUGAGAGCUUGCUCUUAUGAAGUUAGCGGCGGACGGGUGAGUAACACGUGGGUAACCUGCCCAUAAGACUGGGAUAACUCCGGGAAACCGGGGCUAAUACCGGAUAACAUUUUGAACCGCAUGGUUCGAAAUUGAAAGGCGGCUUCGGCUGUCACAUAUGGAUGGACCCGCGUCGCAUUAGCUAGUUGGUGAGGUAACGGCUCACCAAGGCAACGAUGCGUAGCCGACAUGAGAGGGUGAUCGGCCACACUGGGACUGCGACACGGCCCAGACUCCUACGGGAGGCAGCAGUAGGGAAUCUUCCGCAAUGGACGAAAGUCUGACGGAGCAACGCCGCGUGAGUGAUGAAGGCUUUCGGGUCGUAAAACUCUGUUGUUAGGGAAGAACAAGUGCUAGUUGAAUAAGCUGGCACCUUGACGGUACCUAACCAGAAAGCCACGGCUAACUACGUGCCAGCAGCCGCCGUAA